This 77-nucleotide transfer RNA is filed under the name Pseudomonadota bacterium. RNAcentral describes it as "tRNA-His". It matches the Rfam family "tRNA". Rfam says of the family: Transfer RNA (tRNA) molecules are approximately 80 nucleotides in length. Their secondary structure includes four short double-helical elements and three loops (D, anti-codon, and T loops). RNAcentral also lists the same sequence under 4 other names. Lineage: Bacteria; Pseudomonadati; Pseudomonadota. The record is from RNAcentral.
GCGGGUGUAGCUCAGUCGGUUAGAGCGCUUGAUUGUGGCUCAAGAGGUCGUGGGUUCGAAUCCCAUCACUCGCCCCA